Podarcis raffonei (Aeolian wall lizard) is the source of this 3460-nucleotide RNA transcript. It is a transcript of the gene named bromodomain containing 8, with no coding region annotated. Lineage: Eukaryota; Metazoa; Chordata; Lepidosauria; Squamata; Lacertidae. The record is from RefSeq and is a predicted model, not a curated record. The transcript is spliced from 23 exons.
CAUCCAGUAGAAAAGCGACUUUGAGGAAUAAAUGCCGCCCUCUCCUUCCUCCUCGGAGCAGGUUUCCCAGCAAGCAUCGCGCUUGUUGGCGUCUUCGGGAAGAUGGCGGCGGGGACGGGUAAGCACAAGUUGCUGAGUGCUGGGCCUACAGAGCCAUGGUCUAUCCGGGAAAAACUUUGCUUGGCUUCUUCAGUCAUGCGGAGUGGAGACCAAAACUGGGUUUCUGUCAGCAGAGCCAUCAAACCCUUUGCAGAGCCAGGCCGCCCACCUGAUUGGUUUUCCCAAAAGCAUUGUGCAUCACAAUAUUCUGAGCUUCUGGAGACCACAGAGACCCCAAAAAGAAAGCGUGGUGAGAAGGGAGAAGUGGUAGAAACUGUGGAAGAUGUAAUUGUGAGAAAACUGACAGCAGAACGGGUUGAGGAGUUAAAGAAGAUGAUUAAGGAGACACAGGAAAAGUAUAGGCAGCUGAAGAGGGAUGCAGAACUGAUCCAGGCAGGGCACAUGGACCAUAGGCUGGAGGAACUGUGCAAUGACAUUGUGGUGAAGAAAAGAAUGGAAGAGGAGGAGGCAGAAGUGAAGAGAAAGGCUACAGAUGCUGCUUAUCAAGCUCGUCAGGCAGUUAAGAACACAUCACGAAGACCUCCAGGAAUUAUGGUCCGUUCUCCUGCAGGCUCAACCUCGCCAGGAGCAGACUACAGUCUGGGUGACUUAUCUCAACCCACAUUGGAAGAGGCUAGUCCAGGGGUAACUCCAGGGACAUUGCCCAGCACCCCAGUUGCCUCCUUCAUUGGGAUCCCUGACACCCCUAUGGGCUCCACCUCCCUGGAUGCCCCCAUGACCCCAGUCACAGAUGAUUCAGCCCAGAAAAAGAUGCUAGGACAGAAAGCAACUCCGCCUCCUUCUCCUCUGCUUUCAGAGCUGCUGAAGAAGGGCAGCCUCCUGCCCACAAGCCCCAGGCUGGUGGGUGAGAGCGACAUGACAGUAGUUUCUGGUCACACAAGCAGCUCUGGUCUCCUCCUGGAAGUGGGAGGGGUUCUUCCAGGGCUGCACGGUGGAGAAAUGCAGUCAGCUUCAACUACUGUUCCUGCAUCUCCUGCUGCUUCAGGUGCUCCUACACUUUCCCGCCUUUUAGAAGCUGGUCCAGCGCAAUUCACCACAUCGCUUGCUUCCUUUUCUGCUGUUGCCAGUGAACCUCCAGGCAAACUCCUGCCUCCCCCUGUAGAGUCCGUGUCUCAGGCAACUCUAGUCAUGGUGCCCACGCUACAAGCACCAGCUGCUGUGCCACCCGCUGCAACUCCCGAAAGUGUAGCGACAGGCUUUCACUUGACUUGUCACUCUUGUCCAGUGAGUCAGCCCAACACCUGUGUUUCCAUGGAGGCAGUGCCUGAUCCUCACACUGUGACAGUGUCAAUGGACAGCAGUGAGAUUUCCAUGAUCAUUGAUUCCAUCAAGAAAGAUUGCCUGGGCUCUGGGGCAUCUGGUGCUGUAGGGACUUCCAAAGACCACAGCAUUGAUGGGAAGGAAGACCUAGAUCUGGCUGAGAAGAUGGAUAUUGCAGUUUCCUACACGGGGGAAGAACUGGACUUUGAGACUGUUGGGGACAUCAUAGCUAUCAUUGAAGACAAGGUGGACGACCAUUCUGAAGUCCUGGAUGUAGCAGCAGUAGAGGCUUUCUGCGAUGAGAUUGAGGAUCCUCAGUCACUGACCGACCCCUGGGAGCACCCACUCCAACGAGAGCACCCAAUCCAACAGGAGCACGAGAAGCAGAAUCAGAUCCCCCCAAUGGCUGUGACUGUAAAGCAGGAGAGACCAGACUGUGAGGAAUCAGAGGCUAAGGGGAUCAGAGAUCUGAUGAGCAUUGGGGAUCUGGGAACAGAAAUAAAGACGGAACCUUCUGAGCAGGGACAGAUUCAUCUGAGCCCUGAGGAAGCUUCUGCACUAGCAACCAGAACAAGUGAAGCCCCUGAAGAUGAAGAGACACGGGUUACUGGUCUGGAGUGCUCUGAAAUGGAGAUGGAAUCAUCAAAGGUUGAAAUGGAUCAUGGCACAGUGAAGACAGAGCUUCCCCCUGAUGAUGAUACUUCCUCCCCACAUGCACCAAGUGCAAGCGAAGAUUCCUCACAAGCAGAUCUUCACCACAAAUAUGAGCUUUCAGAAUCAAUGAAGGAAGAAGCCCAAGCUCUUUUUGAGAACCAACUGAAGGGUGAAGAGGAUGAGGAGGAUGGUGCCAGUGAGGCUGCCAGUCUGGAAGAGCCCAAAGAGGAAGAUCAGGGUGAGGGAUACCUCUCUGAAAUGGACAAUGAGCCCCCUGUGAGUGAGAGUGAUGAUGGCUUCAGUAUCCAUAAUGCGCCUUUGCAGUCUCACACUUUGGCUGAUUCCAUUCCCAGCAGCCCCGCCUCCUCACAGUUCUCUGUUUGCAGUGAGGAUCAGGAGGCUAUUCAGGCCCAGAAGAUCUGGAAAAAGGCUAUUAUGUUAGUUUGGAGAGCAGCAGCCAAUCACAGGUAUGCCAAUGUCUUCUUGCAGCCCGUGACCGAUGAUAUAGCUCCAGGUUACCACAGUAUUGUACAGAGGCCAAUGGAUUUAUCAACCAUUAAGAAGAAUAUUGAGAAUGGGCUAAUCCGGACCACAGCAGAGUUCCAACGUGAUAUCAUGCUGAUGUUCCAAAAUGCUGUCAUGUACAACAGCUCUGACCAUGAUGUAUACCACAUGGCUGUGGAAAUGCAGCGAGAUGUCUUGGAGCAGAUUCAGCAAUUUCUAGCCACACAGUUGAUCAUGCAGACGUCUGAGUCUGGGAUCAGUGCAAAAAGUCUGCGUGGACGAGAUUCCACUCGGAAACAAGAUGCUUCAGAGAAGGACAGUGUCCCCAUGGGCUCCCCUGCCUUCCUCCUUUCUCUCUUUACAGAGAAGCAUGAGGAAAGGCAGCCAGAUGGAGUGGGCAGCAGAUGGAAGUGAUCUCUCUAGCUUCCGUACAUUCACAGAGAGCCGCUGUGAGGACAUGCUAGGGAGAUAGUGGCAGGGUCACCCACCUGGAAGAGAACUUCUGUAAAGAGCAGCGCUUGAUCAGGAUGGGGGAACCAGAGGGCGGCGUUGUGCCAUUGAAGCAGAUAUGAAGAUGAAGAAAUGAUGCUGAAGAUAAGAAACAGCCCAGUCUUUGGUGUCUGGACCUAGGAAGCAAAAUGAGAACCUUCCUGAUCCUGAGGAUGAAAUGGCUAUGGACAGGGAAGGGCUGACCUGUCAGUAAUAAAGAAUAUCUAUCAUCCUGGAAUGUGUAACCAGGGUAAUCCCAGAAACAAGAGAGCAGCCCCACUGCCUGUUGUAGGGCAGCAGUAUUUGGGUCCUAUUAGUGUCCUCAUAUUAGCUAGCAACUGGUGGCUAGUACGUACUGUAAUGUGAAGUGUACAGAUUUUUUGUAUUUGUGGAGUGUAAAUGUGUAUAAUAAACUGUAGUAGAGAAUCCUGUA